Molecule: ribosomal RNA, 509 nt
Filed under: uncultured bacterium
Lineage: Bacteria
Description: partial 16S ribosomal RNA
Rfam family: Bacterial small subunit ribosomal RNA
Source: RNAcentral
ACGCACGCUGGCGGCGUGCUUAACACAUGCAAGUCGAACGAAGAGCGACGGAAGCUUGCUUCUAUCAAUCUUAGUGGCGAACGGGUGAGUAACGCGUAAUCAACCUGCCCUUCAGAGGGGGACAACAGUUGGAAACGACUGCUAAUACCGCAUACGAUCUAAUCUCGGCAUCGAGGAUGGAUGAAAGGUGGCCUCUACAUGUAAGCUAUCACUGAAGGCGGGGAUUGCGUCUGAUUAGCUAGUUGGAGGGGUAACGGCCCACCAAGGCGAUGAUCAGUAGCCGGUCUGAGAGGAUGAACGGCCACAUUGGGACUGAGACACGGCCCAGACUCCUACGGGAGGCAGCAGUGGGGAAUCUUCCGCAAUGGACGAAAGUCUGACGGAGCAACGCCGCGUGAGUGAUGACGGCCUUCGGGUUGUAAAGCUCUGUUAAUCGGGACGAAAGGCCUUCUUGCGAAUAGGGAGAAGGAUUGACGGUACCGGAAUAGAAAGCCACGGCUAACUACGUG